RNAcentral lists this ribosomal RNA (468 nucleotides) under uncultured bacterium. Its description in RNAcentral is "partial 16S ribosomal RNA". It matches the Rfam family "Bacterial small subunit ribosomal RNA", at positions 28 to 507 of the family's 1533-position model. The record is from RNAcentral.
GACGAACGCUGGCGGCGUGCUUAACACAUGCAAGUCGAACGGAAAGGCCCUGCUUUUGUGGGGUGCUCGAGUGGCGAACGGGUGAGUAACACGUGAGUAACCUGUCCUUGACUUUGGGAUAACUUCAGGAAACUGGGGCUAAUACCGGAUAGGAGCUCCUGCUGCAUGGUGGGGGUUGGUAAGUUUCGGCGGUUGGGGAUGGACUCGCGGCUUAUCAGCUUGUUGGUGGGGUAGUGGCUUACCAAGGCUUUGACGGGUAGCCGGCCUGAGAGGGUGACCGGCCACAUUGGGACUGAGAUACGGCCCAGACUCCUACGGGAGGCAGCAGUGGGGAAUAUUGCACAAUGGGCGGAAGCCUGAUGCAGCAACGCCGCGUGCGGGAUGACGGCCUUCGGGUUGUAAACCGCUUUCGCCUGUGACGAAGCGUGAGUGACGGUAAUGGGUAAAGAAGCACCGGCUAACUACGUG